This 98-nucleotide ribosomal RNA is filed under the name uncultured marine bacterium. RNAcentral describes it as "partial small subunit ribosomal RNA". It matches the Rfam family "Bacterial small subunit ribosomal RNA", at positions 957 to 1054 of the family's 1533-position model. The record is from RNAcentral.
AUACGCGAGAAACCUUACCAGGGUUUGACAUGAUACGAAUUUCUUUGAAAAAAGAAAGUGCCGUUUGGAACGUAUACACAGGUGGUGCAUGGCCGUCG